Molecule: long non-coding RNA, 786 nt
Filed under: Cucumis sativus (cucumber)
Lineage: Eukaryota; Viridiplantae; Streptophyta; Magnoliopsida; Cucurbitales; Cucurbitaceae
Description: long non-coding RNA (CSAT_LNC000529)
Source: RNAcentral
CCAAAUUGAAUAUUCUAUAUGGCGCCGCUCCGGUUUUCUUCCCACCUGAACCUGUACUCUUCCCCGACGUAUCCAACGAACCCAAACACCCUUUCACAAUAUCAUCGAUGUAAGUAAAAUCCCUCGCCAAAUCCACCCGGUUCUUCCCACGGAAUACUGUAAUCGGCUUCCCUUGUAAUAUAUUCCUUGUAAAAGAAAAAUACGCCAUAUCCGGUCUUCCCCAAGGUCCAUACACCGUGAAAAACCUCAACCCGGUAAUCGACAACCCGUAUAUAUGAUUGUACGUAUGUGUAAUUUCCUCACCGGCUUUUUUGGUAGCCGCGUAAAGACUGGCGGGUUGAUCGGUUCGGUCCGAUUCGGAAAAGGGGACUUUUUCGUUAAGGCCAUAAACCGAACUGGAAGAAGCCCAGACCACGGCGGGUUGAGGGUUAGCCGAUUUACAAGCUUCAAGAAGCGUAACUAAACCGGCGAUAUUACUAUGUACAUAGGAAUUGGGAUUUUCCAUGGCGUAACGAACUCCAGCUUGUGCGGCUAAAUGCAUCACGUGAGUAAAAACGACGACAUCGAAGAGUUUAUCCAAUAAUCUAACGUCGUUAAUAUCGCCGUCAACGAUGAAAAUCCCGUGAUUGGAGAGAAGCGAUUUCCGUGCCUUUUUCAGCGAUGGGUCGUAAUAAGAAUUGAAAUUGUCAAGACCGACAACGCCGUCACCGCGUUUCUUUAAAGCGAGUGAAACGUGUGAACCGACGAAACCUGCAGCGCCGGUGACGACGACGGAGAAGCCGUUGG